RNAcentral lists this ribosomal RNA (540 nucleotides) under uncultured bacterium. RNAcentral describes it as "partial 16S ribosomal RNA". The record is from RNAcentral.
GGAGUUAGCCGGUGCUUCUUCUGUGAGUGAUGUCCUUCCUGCCGGCUAUUAACCCGCAGGCCUUCUUCCUCACUGAAAGUGCUUUACAACCCGAAGGCCUUCUUCACACACGCGGCAUGGCUGGAUCAGGGUUGCCCCCAUUGUCCAAUAUUCCCCACUGCUGCCUCCCGUAGGAGUCUGGGCCGUGUCUCAGUCCCAGUGUGGCUGAUCAUCCUCUCAGACCAGCUACGGAUCGUCGCCUUGGUGAGCCGUUACCUCACCAACCAGCUAAUCCGACAUAGGCUCAUCCGAUAGCGCGAGGCCCGAAGGUCCCCCGCUUUCCCCCGUAGGGCGUAUGCGGUAUUAGCCUGGGUUUCCCCCAGGUUAUCCCCCACUACCGGGCAGAUUCCUAUGCAUUACUCACCCGUCCGCCGCUCGCCACCAGGGAGCAAGCUCCCCGUGCUGCCGCUCGACUUGCAUGUGUUAGGCCUGCCGCCAGCGUUCAAUCUGAGCCAGAGUACAACUACUCGACGUACGUAGACGGGCGUCGUCGACGACGGC